CCUUCUUGCAUUUUCUCUCUCUUCAGCUCGAAUUCUUCAAUGGCGAGAACCAGAGGAGGUGCAACAUUUCAAAGAAAACGUGACCUUUGUUCUUCGGCUACAAAAGUCGACGAACCACCACCUUCUGGCUUGAAGAAGAAUACUAGAGCUAAAAAGAAAAAGAGUGUUGCUGAAGAAGAUGUUUCUAGAGAGGUUCAUGAACAUCCAGUUUCUGCAACUGGUUCACGUUCACCUUCAUCUCGCCAAAAGAGAACUCGUGAAGAUGAACCCGAACCUAGAGUUGAAGCUACUGCUCUUGUUCGUGUUAAGAAGCCAAGGAUAAGAAUGAAGAAAUCAAUAGUUGAAGCUGGUGGUGAUGUACCUACGUUACAAUAGUAGAAGCUGUCGGCAGUGAUGACAAUUCACAACUAGUGGACAAUGUUUAUCAAGAAUUGGAGGAGUGGAUGAAUAUAGCUUGCAAUACUUUUGGUCUGUCAGAAGUGGAGCUGGUAAUACUUUCUGUUUUUUUAUGCUGUGAAAAAUAUAGUUCCCUUUUUUCAUGUUAUAAAUACCUUUUUUUAAAUGAGAGUGCCUAUUAUAAAUUGCAUAAGUAUAUAUUUAAAAGAGGUCACUAUAAUAUAAAAAAUGGAAUCUACAUGUGUUUUUUUUUUCUAACUAAUGGUGGUAUCAUUUUUGCAGAUAUUUUUACCUUGUCUUUGGGGCAGUCACUAUUUAUUAUUUGUGGUGAAUUUGACUGAAUUGAUAAUAUGAAUUAUGAUGAGGAUAAUCGUAUCUUCUUGAAAAAGUUUUCUAGUCUCUUGGUAUUACUUUCUCACUCUUCCAUAUUCUCACUAUUUUCUUGUCUAAUAGGAUUUGAUUGUGAGUUUUAGGAAUUAGGAUUUGGACAUAUGUUAAACUAGUUUGAAAUUUUUAUGCUGCAGAUUUCAAUGCCAUUGUUUGUGUUGGUAUGGAUAUUAUAUAUGCAUAUUUUCUAUUACUAUGAUAGCUUCUUAAAUAGGAAAUUGUAAUUCUGAAGUCUGUAAUUUGUACAGCAUUAGUCAAGGUCUUAUAUUCUUGUCUACUAUGGAGUUUUGCCUCUAUUUUCAAGGUUAUGAGUUAUGACUGAUUAUGGGUUGUAAUUGGUCAUUAAUUAUUUAUUGUUGGAUGAAGCUGGGUGUUAAUCAUUUGUUGUGUUAGUAUUUUGAUAUAAGCUAAGCGCUGGAUGGACUAGAAAUAUGGGUUUGUAGUAGUCUACCAAUGGUACUGUUUCAUGGGGUUGUAAUGCCUGGUAAAGUGGUAAGAAAAGGGCUCUGUUAUACACCUCUUGAAUUCACAUUUUGGACUGUAGUUAGGUGCUUGAAGCUUAAAAUAGUUUCUAUACUACUUUUAACUUUUAUGUCAAGCAAUCCCCAUAUAGAAUGUGAAUCAAAUUUGGGUAGGCAAGAAAGCAAGUUUUUCUUUAGUAUGAAGUAUAUAUUACUUUAUUCUAAGAAUGAUCUGGUUGUAACAUCGGAACCUUAGAACACCCUAAUUUGAGAAAUUUUCUGUGCAUUUUAUUGGAAAGUUUGUUCUUGUGAGCUAUCUACAUUUGGGCCAUACAUUUUGGUAUGGUUGUAUUUCAUUGUUUGCACUACCUUGAUGGUCCCUGGUUUAGAUUGUUAACAUAGUUACUAAGAUAAUUUGUUGCAGGAUGUUUAUGAUAAUGAUUGUUAAUAGAUCAUUUAAUGCAACUGUGAUUUGAUUAUAUGUUUUUUUGCUAGUGUGAUAUGAUCAAUACCUUCUUUGAUAAAAGGCUUACUCAAUCUAGAGCUAUGGUUGACUACGCUUUGGAGUUUCCUACUUUGAAUUGGAGAUCUAGCAAAGAUAAUUCUGAUUUUGGUGUUUAUACUAUAAUGAGCAUGCUUUUAUUCAAUGGAGCUGAUGAGUUUAAAUGUGAAAUUUUAAAAACAGCUUCCAAUAGGAAGAUUCUCCGGAUUCAAAUUGCUGCAUCUUUGGUGUUAUCUGAUAUGAAUGAAGCUAGAUCAAAUGUAAUUGGUAAGGUGGCUGGAUUCAAACCUUAUAGGCAGCGUCUUUCAAAAGAGGUUGAAGAAAUAAGGAAGAAAGAAAUUGAACGAACAGAGGAAGAAUAAGAAGAAGCCGACUAUAGACAAGGAGAAGAAAGGAAAGGCUUAAGAUGUCAAAACAUUGUGUAACUGAUUUUUUGACUUAGUUGUGAUCAUAAUUUUCUGAUGCUAAGCAAAGUACUUUGAAGAUUGUAUAGCUAAUUAGUAUUCAUUCAACUUUUGUGUAGGUUAUUAAAUGAAGAUUGGAAAAAUAUUCAUUUUGUGUAAACAAGCUUUU
Chenopodium quinoa (quinoa) is the source of this 2319-nucleotide RNA transcript. RefSeq lists it as uncharacterized. The record is from RefSeq and is a predicted model, not a curated record. NCBI's taxonomy places the organism in Eukaryota, Viridiplantae, Streptophyta, Magnoliopsida, Caryophyllales, Amaranthaceae. The transcript is spliced from 4 exons.